This 492-nucleotide ribosomal RNA is filed under the name uncultured bacterium. RNAcentral describes it as "partial 16S ribosomal RNA". It matches the Rfam family "Bacterial small subunit ribosomal RNA", at positions 28 to 507 of the family's 1533-position model. The record is from RNAcentral.
GACGAACGCUGGCGGCGUGCCUAAUACAUGCAAGUCGAACGGAAGGCCACUAAGUGCUUGCACUUGCUGAAGGCGAGUGGCGAACGGGUGAGGAACACGUGGGAAUCUUCUUUCAUAGGGGGGAAUAAGAAUGGGAAACGACUCCAAAAACCGAUACGGACAUCGGGUGACAGCAGCGAGUCUUGGGAGCUGGCGCGAGCGAACGAGACGAUGUCGCAUUAGCUAGUUGGCGGGGUAAAGGCCCACCAAGGCGACGAUGCGUAGCCGGUCUGAGAGGAUGAUCAGCCACACUGGAACUGAGACACGGUCCAGACUCCUACGGGAGGCAGCAGUAGGGAAUAUUCCACAAUGGGCGCAAGUCUGACGCAGCCACACCGCGUGAGUGAAGAAGGCCUUCGGGUUGUAAAGCCCUGUUGUUGGGGAAGAACAGCAGCUAGUGAAUCCCCUGCUGUUCUGACGGUACCCAAAGAGUAAGCACCGGCUAACUUCGUG